GCCUGGGUGGCUCAUUUGGUUAAGCAUCUGACUUUGGUUCACAUCAUGAUCUCACAGUUCGUGGGUUAGAGCCCCGCAUCAGGCU
RNAcentral lists this transfer RNA (85 nucleotides) under Felis catus (domestic cat). It matches the Rfam family "tRNA". Rfam says of the family: Transfer RNA (tRNA) molecules are approximately 80 nucleotides in length. Their secondary structure includes four short double-helical elements and three loops (D, anti-codon, and T loops). Lineage: Eukaryota; Metazoa; Chordata; Mammalia; Carnivora; Felidae. RNAcentral also lists the same sequence under 2 other names. The record is from Rfam by way of RNAcentral.